AACGAACGCUGGCGGCAUGCUUAGCACAUGCAAGUCGAACGAGACCGUCGGGUCUAGGGGCGCACGUGUACGUAACAAGUGGGAACCUGCCCUUAGGUUCCCAGUAACUGCCCGAGAGGGGUCCUAAUACCAGUGGGGGUCUUCGGGCAAAAGAGUUCUGGCCUUUGGAUGGGGCUUCGUUGGAUUAGCUGGUUGGUAGGGUAAACGCGUGCUAAGACGGCGAUCCAUAGUUAGUCUGAGAGGAUGCUCAGCCAGACUGGGACUGAGACACGGCCCAGACGCCUACGGGAGGUAGCAGUGGGGAAUAUAGGGGAAUGGGCGAAAGCCUGCUCCAGCGAGGCCGCGAGAGCGAUGAAGGCCUUGGGGUUCUAAAGCUCCUUUACCCGGGAUGAUAAGGACAGAACCGGGAGAAUAAGACCCGGCUAACUCGGU
This 432-nucleotide ribosomal RNA is filed under the name uncultured bacterium. Its description in RNAcentral is "partial 16S ribosomal RNA". It matches the Rfam family "Bacterial small subunit ribosomal RNA", at positions 29 to 506 of the family's 1533-position model. The record is from RNAcentral.